CUACAAUUACACCAGGUGGUGCAGAUGGCUCUCCAGGGGAAGAAUAACAAAUAUUACAGAGAUAACCCAUCUGUGAUGGCUAUUCUUACUUGGCUAUAUCUGGGAUUAAUUAAAACCCCAAGUCACUGGGCACAGGUCUGUGUGUGUGUGUGUGUGUGUGUGUGUGUGUGUGUGUGUGUGUGUGUAUGCGCGCGUGCAUGAAUUAGAUCAUUUGAGGUAAAGACUAACCUAAGAUCCAGUUCACUUAAGAUCAGAAGACCAACCUUAAUCUGUGCUUAUCUUCGUGUGGCCCACCCUGUCAUCUGCUGUCCUCACAGACACUGAAGAGGAGGGGCAUAGGUCUGGAUGGUGCUGAGCUGGAGGCAGAUGAGGGGCCAGAGGGUGGGGGAGGGAAGCUUCUGAAGACUCCAGGAGGUGACAGAGGCCUGGCUUUGCUCCUGCCUCCUCCCUGUUCCCUCUUCAAAUCCCUCUGGCCCCAAACACACUUCCAAAACAGAGUUUGAGGCUGAAAGUCAGAGUAGUGGUAAAGAGCCAGGAGGGAGAGCCACCUUUGUGACAGCUGAUCUUGCUGGGUGCCUGAGGAAUCAGUUCCUGAGAAGAAAUAGGUUUUAUGACCCGGGCUUUGAAGAACAUGUAAGAGUUCAACAAACAAGUCUUCCCACCACCGUUUCUCAGAUGAUCUGACACCCCAUGCUCCAUAAAGAGAGGUCUCUGCCCUGAACCAGGCUACAGAUCAGCGAUGGAGCCCACCCAGCACCUCCCGGCCUUAGGUAUAGGCCUGAGAGGAGAGUGACCCUCUCCUUCAUUUUCCUACUUCUCUGUCUGCAGGGUGGCCCCAGUGAUGUCCCACUCAGAGCUGUCAUACCAGGUCCCACCUGCUCCUUGGCUACAGGCUAAGGCCUGGGUGACUAGCAGGCUCAGUGGGGGGUGGGGAGGAGGGCAGCAGCGGCGAGAAAGCAGGGCGCAAGGAUCUUCAGCUCCGGUCUCGGUCUCGCUGGUUGACUCAGCCGCCUCUCUCUCUUUGGCUUCCUCUCCCAGGCCUGGAACUCCCCAUCUUCUCCCCGAGCCACCAAGUUGGCAAGACUCUCCCACCCCUGUACCUGCCAACUGAUGGGUGGAGGCUAGAACUGCUUGGUGUCCUGAGGAACCUGCGCACUCAGGUACCCGUCCUGGGUAACUUAGCUUCUAGCAGCAGAGGCUCCGCAGUGCACCCGCCCCAUCGGACUUGUCUGCUUCUCUGGGUCCCUUGCCCCGACCCAGAUGCAUCCACAUCCGCAUCCGCAGGGCAGAAUUAUGACAAGAGCCCUGUUCAGUUAGCUUCGGUCCGCGGAUUGCAGCCCGGGAGCCGCCUCUUUGCACCUCCUGCAGCCCUCAGCCUAGUCCCUGCCCUCCCAGGAGAGUGUUCCCCUGGGACAGAGGAGAUGGCAGAUAAAGGCGCCUGUUCAGUUCCCAGAAGAAAAAACACACAUGGUGGAAGGAGAAAAGCCAACUGAUCUUGCAAGUUCACCUCUGACCUCCACAAGUGCACUGAUAUGCCUCCUUUCCUCAGUACAUAAGUAAAUGUAAAACCAAGUUUUUAAAAAUGGUUCCUUAAACUCAGCUCUCCCUUCCCACCUGCUGGGUCUUUGGGAUGCUAGUGACUGUCUGUAUGCAGCCCUCCCCAGGCUAUGCACCUUGGACAUGGCUGGGGUGGGAGGAAGGGGGUUGGCUGUGGGUCCUGUUUUUGAGGCUAUUCAGUCUCAGAGACCAAGAAACUAAGAUUCAAAGAGCACCUGCUGUGCUUGCUGGAGGCUGAAGCUGGGCUGUGAAGCUGAAAGGGACAUUGGUGACUUCAGCAGUGGGCUUCAGGGUUCUAGAAAGAUUCCCAGGGCUUCCAUAGCCCAGACUCCAUAGCCCAGACUGACUCAGACAUUAAGACUAGAGAAGACCUUGCCACUUUACUGUGCCAUGUUUAGUCAUCCAGAGAAGCUGUAGGAUUCCCAAGGAAAGUGUUUUCUGUGCGGUUGCUGUAUCAGAAAUGGAGGAAUCACCCUCAGCUCCCAUCUCCUGCACUCUUCACCUGAAUCUACAAUUUCACUUUUAGCCCUAACUCAACUUCAUCCUUUCCCCAGUUUGUCCAUUGUCCAGGUCCUUGUCACAUCCUAAUCUUUGCCCUGCCUUUGGGAGCAAUCCGGUUUGGACCUGCUUGGACUAGUUUGGACUAGCUUGAUCCUGUUUAAGAGCCUGCCUGUUUAAUCCAGUUUACACUGGUUUAAUCCAGUUUGGACAUGUUUAAUUAAUUUCAUCUCAAUUAAGAUACCCCCUUUCAAGAUAUGUCUAGGUUUGUGUCACAUUGACACAAAUUAACAAUUUCUUUCCAGAUUGAUAAUUUUUAAAAAAGAUUUAUUUAUUAUAUAUAAGUACACUAUAGCUCUCUUCAGGCACACCAGAAGAGGGCAUCAGAUCUCAUUACAGAUGGUUGUGAGCCACCAUGUGUGAUUUGAACUCAGGACCUCUGGAAGAGCAGUCAGUGCUCUUAACCACAUAGCCAUCUCUCCAACCCCAGAUUGAUAAUUUUUAAUUUUGUUUUAAGUAAAUCACUUAUAUAGUUUUCCCUAAUACUUUUCACAUAUAUUUGUCAUUUCUAUUAUAUAUAUGUAUCUAUAAAGCCUAAGAAUAUUUUGAGUGAUUCUUUUAGAAAGGCUCCAUCUAUGUACUGUCCUGAAGCUGGAUCCCUCAGGUGUCAGGUAUGCUAACAUGUUUGCAAUCUGCCUGGGUCAUUCAGCUUCUGUGAGCUGUACAGUUGUGGAGUUUUACCUGAGCUGAUUAUUUACCUCUUAGGUAACUUUAGGGAGGACAGGGGCUUUGGGAGGAGCUCCUGAAGGCUGGUGAGCCUCAUGAAAUACCCCCUCUCUCCAGUAGGGGAUGCUCCUAGACCCAGUUUCCUGAGGGCUACCUACAGCUACUCUUUAUUCAAGAUGGAAAAUUUCACAUCCACCUUGAAAGGAACAAGUAUGCAAUAAUGUAUUUUAUAAUGUAAAUCCAAAAGAAAGUACUCCCAGGUAAUGUCGGUAUCUUUUAAUCUUUUGCCCCAAAAUGUAAUUGUUUUGCCUUCUUGCCCCUUUCCAUUUCACAACAUUUACAUAGAAAACUUUUAAUAAGACAGUCAUUUACAUAGCCAACAAGUUGGGCAGGGCAGGAUAUAGGUAGACAUCAGCCUGGUGCUGUGGGAGCCAAAGCCUGCUAAAGGGUGAAGUGACAUUCACAUAGGGCAAGCCUGAAUGUGCAUGGUAAGGAUCUAUCUUCACAAACUGGGGCAAUGUUGGUGAUGAGAGACGCGCUGUGUAAAACAGCUUGAACCAUCAAUUAGAUCAGUAGAGAAAUGGGCUCCACUACAGAAAAGACAGCAAUUAGUUCUUCAGUGAUGGACUUGAGAUAGGUCCAUGACCUUAAGUUUUGAAUAGUGUCAGUUCUGUUGUGACAUAUGCCCCAGUAAAUGCUAUUAUGCCUUAGAAAGUCACACAAGACAAUCAAGAGUUUAUUGAAAAACAAAGUUGGAACAGGAAACUCAAAAUGUUUCCUCAGGGACACACACGUGCAUCUGAGACAGGGAACUGUUGAACAUGGCAGUACAGUUUAUGGACAACAGAUGCAAGGAUGAACAAACGUGGGUCUAUACCUAGCAAAGGACCUAAAGUGUCUAUAACAUAAGCAUCAGGAGGAUCACAGCUUUGGGGUUAUUUUGAGGUAGAUGUCACAAAACACCUAAUAAAUACAACUUAAGGAAGGAAGGGCUCAUGUUGGCUCGUGGUUUGAAAGCUUACAGUCCUCGGUGGAACUAAACACCGUGGUGGGGGUUGGAAGCGUUUUCUACCAAUGAAUGGUCUCUGAAAGCACCAUAUCAGAUAAGCCCAGAGAUGUGUUGUGGGACAAUGAAAGGUACCCUGGUUCCUGGUUGAGGAGGCUUGAACCCCAGAUACCCUGAAAGGGAUGGUAGGUGUUUCACCUGACUCCCAGGAAACCAGGCUGGUCACUAGCAGCAGUCACAUAAAGGGCAACACCACAGGCCCCUCCACAGGUAGAGGAUGUAAGCUCAAGACAGAUCUCCAUUAUAAUGAGGUCUCUAAGUUUAGGCCUGGAGGCUUAGCCAAUGAAUUUCCCUUCUCAGACAAUCCUCCCUGCAAAAGGUAUUUAAUCUCAGGCCCACUCUGAGAAGUGGGGUCUGGUUUUACUCCUCCACUUUCUGCCAUGACAAUAAAUGCCUUAAAACCACUGAUUGUCUCUUCAUUGGGAUCCACCAUGGGAAGCCAUGGAGAAGCCCUUCGCCUACAGAGCCACCAUCUAAUCUCCUGCAGAAGACCUCCCGGUGCUCCCAGCCACCUCCACCCAGCAGCACCUGGAUGCCCAGCCUGAGAAUCAGACAGCCCAGCCUCCUUGCAGGCCCAGGAACCCCCACCCAGCCAGCUCUCACACUCAGACUGCAUUUCCACCCCCAGGAGUGGUGUCCUGUGGCUUCCCACAGCCCAACACCAGCCAGGGGCAGCAUGGGGUAAGUGCAGCCGACUUCCCUCGUCCUGCCUCCAGAGCAGCCCAAGCCCUGUGGUGGAGCAGGAUGAGGGACCCCAGGUGUCUUCCAGGUGAUCCAGUCAAGUUGACAAUGACGAUUAACCAUCACAGAGGAUGGCUUGAUGCCAAAGGGAGAGCAUCAGACGAGGGGGAGCAUCAAGUGACAGAGUUGGUAGAUCUUAAAGGAGUGUGUGUGUGUACUAUAUAUACUAUAUGUACAUGCAUUCGUACAUAUAGUUGGGACUCCAUAGAGAGAAAUACACCAAAAAAACUUCUGGUGGUGUGUGCGGUUUGUUGCUGCUUCCACAGACUCAGGCUGAUUGAUGAGUGAUGUCAGCUGGGACAGACUCAUGUGGUGAGGCAAGACACUUGCUGAGGCAAGCCCUGUGGAGAACACAUUAUGUUUGCAGGGUAUAAAUAGGGCUCAACUGACAGUGAUGGAGGCUGAGCUUGGCUUGCUUGCAUAGCUAAAUGCUUGUUGGUCUUGUAUCUUCGCUAAUCUUCACUCUUUGCUGAGAGAAGCACCGAGAGAAGAACUCUUCCUGGUAUUCCUGUUGGCCCUGGUCCCUCUUGCUGACUUAGGCUGUGACUGAAGCCUGGCUUUCUUUGCUAAGUAGUGUCACUGCUGCUGAUCUGUGUUUGCUGUCCCAAUGCUACCGAACUGGACUGUGAAGUGUUUGUGAGUGGAUUGAACUGCUGCUGCUAACCUGUGAGCUGAACUGCCAAUUUCCAGACAACAGAGAAGAGAAUUGCUCUAAAGAUCCAUUCCCAAACAGGUGCAUCUCCCCCAUAUCCUUUCUUUGCCACUACCUCUUGUGUACUAAAAGGAAGGUUAAAGCAUUUAAGAAUCAUCAUUAAAAAUAGGAUUUGAAAAUACUAAAGUAAUACUCAUCAGCAAUCAAAGAACAAUGAUCAAUAGAGAAACAAGUUCAAAUCCUGUUCCAUCUGGGAGGAGCAACUCACUGUAGAGAUAUUGCUGUAAAAGUUGUACUACCUGAAUCCAACUUUUAAGGAAACACCAGAUAAAUCCAAAAUGGGAACAUUUUGCAAUGUAAGUGGCCUGUUGUCUUCAAGUUUCAAGAUCAUGAAACUGGGGCAGGUGAGAUGGUGUGGCUGGGGCAGGUGAGAUGGGACAGCUGGUGCAGGUGAGAUGGCACAGCUGGGGCAGGUGAGAUGGCACAGCUGGGGCAGGUGAGAUGGCACAGCUGGGGCAGGUGAGAUGGCACAGCUGGUGCAGGUGAGAUGGCACAGCUGGGGCAGGUGAGAUGGCACAGCUGGUGCAGGUGAGAUGGCACAGCUGGGG
RNAcentral lists this long non-coding RNA (5848 nucleotides) under Rattus norvegicus (Norway rat). Its description in RNAcentral is "long non-coding RNA NONRATT016537". Lineage: Eukaryota; Metazoa; Chordata; Mammalia; Rodentia; Muridae. The record is from RNAcentral.